Molecule: ribosomal RNA, 448 nt
Filed under: uncultured organism
Description: partial 16S ribosomal RNA
Rfam family: Bacterial small subunit ribosomal RNA
Source: RNAcentral
ACUCCUGCGGGAGGCAGCAGUGGGGAAUUUUACGCAAUGGGGGAAACCCUGACGUAGCGACACCGCGUGAGCGAAGAAGCCCUUUGGGGUGUAAAGCUCUGUCAGCUGGAACGAAAACAAUGACGGUACCAGCAGAGGAAGCAUCGGCUAACUACGUGCCAGCAGCCGCGGUAAGACGUAGGAUGCGAGCGUUGUCCGGAUUUAUUGGGCGUAAAGAGUUCGUAGGUGGUUUGUUAAGUUUGGUGUUAAAGAUCGGGGCUCAACCCUGGGACUGCACUGAAUACUGGCAGACUCGAUGGUGGUAGAGGCUAGUGGAAUUCCCAGUGUAGCGGUGAAAUGCGUAGAUAUUGGGAAGAACACCGGUGGCGUAGGCGACUAGCUGGGCCAUAACUGACGCUGAGGAACGAAAGCCAGGGGGGCGAAUGGGAUUAGAAACCCGUGUAGUCCC